Cyanistes caeruleus (blue tit) is the source of this 1375-nucleotide long non-coding RNA. The record is from Ensembl. NCBI's taxonomy places the organism in Eukaryota, Metazoa, Chordata, Aves, Passeriformes, Paridae.
GUUCCCCUCUCCCACAUGAAAUCAGUCCCUAGCCAUGCCACCCCACGGGGUGCAGGGUGCUCCCCUGGGCACUCGGUGGGAGGGGGUGUGGGAGAGGCAGCGCUGGUGGGCCAGGUCACCCUGGGAACUGCGGGGUCCAGCAGAGUUUAAAGUCUGUGACUCAGGAGAUGCUGAUUUUGCUUUACAGCUUUCUGUAACUCCAGUCAUCUCUGUCCCAAACCGGAGAGGACCUCAUUUCCUGCUCAGUGCUGUGCCAGCCACAAGGUCUUUUCAUAAGGCUGCCAGGGGUGCCUGGCUGCGGGAAGGACAGUCAGUGUUUGUCACCAGGGAAUGAGCUGGCAUCAUAGCUCUAAUCUGAGUCAACAACCUGGCUAGCCCUGAGCAUGACUUCAUAAAUCAUGGUAUCUAAUUGAAAGGCACAUGCUUGUAUAUACAGUGUUGUUCAAAAAGAAAGAAAAAAAAAAUAGAAUUUAACAAAUACUUUUUUCUUUCCACUAGCCUAAUGAUCAGUCACCUGAUUGUUUCAAUUUACAUUAUUUCAUGCAGAGAAAAAAAGCAAAAGUAUAAAAACAUCUUGUAUAGCCAUAACAAAAACACAAAUGAAAAAAUUCAUCUCCUAAUGAGAGGCUUAGCCUUUUUCUAACACAUCCUUAAUAAUAGGGGAAACAAUCUUUAAGUGUUUUUAAUUUAAAUUGUUUUCAUGUUUAAUUCACUAUUGCUAAAUAAUAUUAUUAAGUGUCUAUGUAUCCAUUUAGCGUUGAGGCAUAUGAUAUUUCAAAGCAAUUGAACCAGUUUUGAAAGGAGAAAGAGUCCUGUACCGUGCCUGCAUUCACUGUUUUUUUUAAUGUUAGUUAACACACGUAUGCUGGACUGCCUUUUUUUCAUCCUUCCAGCAGAAAUGAAAAGUAAGUCUGGAACAAAAGAUCAGUUAUGUGCUUUUUGCUUCCCACACCCAAACCUCCUGCUUUAUUUUUGUAUCCAUAGGGUAUGUGUGAUCUCCUCCCAUGAGAGGCAACUCAGCAGCUCGGUCCCCUCUGCCAUCUCAGCACUGCCAGUGGAGAAGCCCAGGAGGAGCAGAGCAGUGCCUGAGCAGCAAUUUGAAUAUCCAUAUUUAACUCUUCAAACAACAGAAGACACUUCAGAACCAUGUGUUCUCAUAAUCCUGGCAAGAUGCUACAAACCCCACGUGACAAAGAUCACAGGGAAAUACUUGAAGAAACCUCUGCCAUUAGCUGUGCUUGUUCUGCCUGAAGGGGCUAUAUUCCAACUGCUGCUUGGCAGAGGAGACAAUUCAAGAGGAAAAAAGCUAUAAUAUGAAACAGCAAAUUGUGAGCAUCUGUGCACACAGCCCUGUGUGUCCUGGUACCACUGCUGG